RNAcentral lists this ribosomal RNA (497 nucleotides) under uncultured bacterium. RNAcentral's name for it is "partial 16S ribosomal RNA". It matches the Rfam family "Bacterial small subunit ribosomal RNA", at positions 28 to 507 of the family's 1533-position model. The record is from RNAcentral.
GAUGAACGCUGGCGGCGUGCCUAAUACAUGCAAGUCGAGCGAACAGACGAGGAGCUUGCUCCUUCGACGUUAGCGGCGGACGGGUGCUUAACACGUAGGUAACCUACCUAUAAGACUGGGAUAACUUCGGGAAACCGGAGCUACUACCGGAUAAUAUUUCGAACCGCAUGGUUCGAUAGUGAAAGAUGGCUUUGCUAUCACUUAUAGAUGGACCUGCGCCGUAUUAGCUAGUUGGUAAGGUAACGGCUUACCAAGGCAGCGAGACGUAGCCGACCUGAGAGGGUGGUUGGACAGCUUGGAAGAGAGACAGGGUCGCGACUCCGACGGGGGGAAGCGGUAGAGAAUCUUACGCGAGGGGGGAGAGCGUGACGGAGCAACGCCGCGUGAGUGAUGAUGGUCUUCGGAUGGGUGAGCUCUGUAAGUAGGAGAGAAGAAAAGUGUAAGUAACUGGGCAGAUAUUGACGGUACCUGAUGAGAAAGCCACGGCUAACUCCGUG